RNAcentral lists this ribosomal RNA (586 nucleotides) under uncultured bacterium. RNAcentral describes it as "partial 16S ribosomal RNA". It matches the Rfam family "Bacterial small subunit ribosomal RNA", at positions 355 to 1375 of the family's 1533-position model. The record is from RNAcentral.
UGGGGAAUUUUGGACAAUGGGCGAAAGCCUGAUCCAGCAAUGCCGCGUGUGUGAAGAAGGCCUUCGGGUUGUAAAGCACUUUUGUCCGGAAAGAAAUCCUCUGGGUUAAUACCUCGGGGGGAUGACGGUACCGGAAGAAUAAGCACCGGCUAACUACGUGCCAGCAGCCGCGGUAAUACGUAGGGUGCAAGCGUUAAUCGGAAUUACUGGGCGUAAAGCGUGCGCAGGCGGUUUUGUAAGACGGAUGUGAAAUCCCCGGGCUUAACCUGGGAACUGCAUUCGUGACUGCAAGGCUAGAGUAUGGCAGAGGGGGGUUAGAAUUCCACGUGUAGCAGUGAAAUGCGUAGAGAUGUGGAGGAAUACCGAUGGCGAAGGCAGCCCCCUGGGCCAAUACUGACGCUCAUGCACGAAAGCGUGGGGAGCAAACAGGAUUAGAUACCCUGGUAGUCCACGCCCUAAACGAUGUCAACUAGUUGUUGGGGAUUCAUUUCCUUAGUAACGUAGCUAACGCGUGAAGUUGACCGCCUGGGGAGUACGGUCGCAAGAUUAAAACUUAAAUGAAUUGACGGGGUCAUAGCUGUUUCCU